GGGUCCGGACACACUGAGGAUUGACAGGCAAUUAUUGCUAACAGUUUCUUUUUUUAAAAGUACUGUUGCAACAACAAAUAUGCUAGUCCUUUCAUGAUUAUGUGGUAGGUGGUGCAUAGCCGUUCUUAGUUCGUGGAGUGAUCUGUCUGCUUAAUUGCGUUUCAUUAUGGACCAUGUUAUAACAUGUACUAUCUCUUGAUUUUCAAAUUUUCAUUUAUUUGAGAUUUGUUAUAAAGAAGGAGUUUUGGUGCAAUUGGUCCUGAAAGCAACGAACGUGACCGCAUCCUCUUGUUGCCUUUUUAACUUGGCAUUUUUUUUAAUUUAUUUUAACAUUUUUGUCAUAACAUAAGAGGCUUUCAGAAAACUAGAGGGACCGCUGCGACUUUUUUAGACCAGAGGAAGGUUGCGGCAAUAACAGGUCUGUGAUGCCCUUAGAUGUUCCGGGCUGCACACGUGCUACAAUGAUUAUUGCAGUGAGCAUCUCAUUUUAUUUUUUGUGCUUGUCUUGUCUGCGAGUUUAUUCUCAACGACGACAGCCUUAGCCUGCUUCGAAAGUUCGCAGGU
RNAcentral lists this ribosomal RNA (564 nucleotides) under Leptammina flavofusca. RNAcentral's name for it is "partial 18S ribosomal RNA". The stretch from base 1 to 460 matches the Rfam family "Eukaryotic small subunit ribosomal RNA", at positions 1220 to 1501 of the family's 1831-position model. Lineage: Eukaryota; Foraminifera; Astrorhizida; Saccamminidae. The record is from RNAcentral.